RNAcentral lists this ribosomal RNA (450 nucleotides) under uncultured Glomeromycotina. RNAcentral's name for it is "SSU rRNA". It matches the Rfam family "Eukaryotic small subunit ribosomal RNA", at positions 569 to 1023 of the family's 1831-position model. Lineage: Eukaryota; Fungi; Glomeromycota. The record is from RNAcentral.
AGCAGCCGCGGUAAUUCCAGCUCCAAUAGCGUAUAUUAAAGUUGUUGCAGUUAAAAAGCUCGUAGUUGAAUUUCGGGGUCAGCAGGUCGGUCGUGCCACUGGUAUGCACUGGCCUUGCUGAUUCCUCCCUCUUGAUGAGCCGUAAUGCCAUUAAUUUGGUGUUGCGGGGAAUCAGGACUGUUACUUUGAAAGAAUUAGAGUGUUUAAAGCAGGCAAGCGCUUGAAUACAUUAGCAUGGAAUAAUGAAAUAGGACGUUUGAUCCUAUUUUGUUGGUUUCUAGGAUUGACGUAAUGAUUAAUAGGGAUAGUUGGGGGCAUUAGUAUUCAAUUGUCAGAGGUGAAAUUCUUGGAUUUAUUGAAGACUAACUACUGCGAAAGCAUUUGCCAAGGAUGUUUUCAUUAAUCAAGAACGAAAGUUAGGGGAUCGAAGACGAUCAGAUACCGUCGUAG